Molecule: ribosomal RNA, 475 nt
Filed under: uncultured bacterium
Lineage: Bacteria
Description: bacterial SSU rRNA
Rfam family: Bacterial small subunit ribosomal RNA
Source: RNAcentral
UGCGAACUCCUACGGGAGGCAGCAGUAGGGAAUCUUCGGCAAUGGGGGGAACCCUGACCGAGCAACGCCGCGUGAGUGAAGAAGGUUUUCGGAUCGUAAAGCUCUGUUGUUAAGGAAGAACGAGUGUGAGAAUGGAAAGUUCAUACUGUGACGGUACUUAACCAGAAAGGGACGGCUAACUACGUGCCAGCAGCCGCGGUAAUACGUAGGUCCCGAGCGUUGUCCGGAUUUAUUGGGCGUAAAGCGAGCGCAGGCGGUUAGAAAAGUCUGAAGUGAAAGGCAGUGGCUCAACCAUUGUAGGCUUUGGAAACUGUUUAACUUGAGUGCAGAAGGGGAGAGUGGAAUUCCAUGUGUAGCGGUGAAAUGCGUAGAUAUAUGGAGGAACACCGGUGGCGAAAGCGGCUCUCUGGUCUGUAACUGACGCUGAGGCUCGAAAGCGUGGGGAGCGAACAGGAUUAGAUACCCUUGUAGUCCU